This 1646-nucleotide long non-coding RNA is filed under the name Anolis carolinensis (green anole). RNAcentral describes it as "lncRNA (ENSACAG00000033644.2)". The record is from RNAcentral. Lineage: Eukaryota; Metazoa; Chordata; Lepidosauria; Squamata; Anolidae.
AAUUACACCUUCAUUUAAUGGGGCAGCUAUUGGGAAGGGCUUGCUUGUACUAUGGGGCAAGUCAAUUUCAGAUGGAGCGCUGGAGUCUAAUCCUGAUUCAAAACCAGUGGGGCUUGGUGUAUCAUCCUAACUAUGCUUUUAAAAUAUCAGUGUUAGAUGCUUUUCAGUGCAUAGGCACAGAGUUGUGUUCUAAUCAGAAGAAAUUUCAAGCAAUUCGAAGUUCUUAGUACUAAAAAUAUGAAGCUUUGGUCUCUACCAUGAGGCAAAGACAUUUUAUAUGUAACAAGGAAAGGGAGAGAGCUAGAACAGGUGAUGAUGGCUUGGCUUCUUUACAAGAUAGCUUGAAAAUACUGCAGCUGGAUCCUUUUUCAGGCAUGAACAGGGAGGGAGGGGAAUUCCCAAUUAUCUUUCAUGUAGAAUGUGUCAAAUAAAGAGGAGGUAAGAGAUUGUACAGUAGAGUCUCACUUAUCCAAGCCUUGCUUAUCCAAGCCUCUGGAUAAUCCAAGCCAUUUUUGUAGUCAAUGUUUUCAAUGUAUCAUGAUAUUUUGGUGCUAAAUUCAUAAAUACAGUAAUUACAACAUAAAUUCUCCCACUUGUGUCUUUAACCCCCCUUCCUGCAGCGACGCCAAAAUGCUGUGUUGCCAGCCACGCCCCCAUUGUUGGAAACGGAGGAGAAAGGCGGCUGAAUUUACUGGGGAAGAACUUUCCAACCUCAUUUAUCUAUCUGAGACGUGCCUAGAUUUCAAUGGGGAUUACGUGAGAUGUAGUAUUGGGAUGUGGCUUUCAGCUGCAUAUGUCACUCAGAACUACAUUCAAGAGUACUUAAGGGACAUGCACAUGUAAUCUCAGAAUGACUGCCAAUAAUCUUUCAAAAUUUGUGAAGAACAGCACACUCCCACCGGGUUGCAGAAGGACAAAUAUUCUUCUCAUCUUCAAAAACAGAAAAAAGACAUACAGUAAAAUCUCAAUAGCACAAUGAAAAAUGAGGGAAAUUCCUAACAUUGAGUUAAAAAACAACAACUAGACCUAUAUUUAGAGGGCAAGAAUGUUACAAAUAUCUGCAACUAAAAUUAUACCGUGUUUUACUCGAAGUGUUUAAUGCCAGUGCUAAUGCUUUUUUGCUUUUGCUUUUGGGUGUGUUUCUUUGCCAAGUACUUUUGCAUUUUUAUAUCGCCAUUUGUUCAGAUUUAUUUAUUUUAUUUUUUAUAUAAAUAUGGACACUUUAGCUUUGUUUUUGGUUUUUUGGUUUUUUUCCCCCUCUCUCUCCCUUUUUGAUCCUUUUUUAAUUGCAGUCUUCCUACUUUCUAUACAAUCAAAUGUUCUCACUCUUUUGAUGUGAAUUUACUCUAUCUUAUAAGGUAAAACUUCAAUAAAAUAUAUAUUUUAAAAUUUUAAAAUUAUAUUGUUAUGCUCUCGGUUGUCCAUUCUACAAUAUUCAAUAUUAGUCAAAAAGAUUGCAUACAUAUUACAGUGAGAUUCAGGGGGCCCUUUGGCAGGAUCUCCAUUUCUCCUAGAUAAUAUAAAAUAUUAAAUCAAAGUUCCCAAAGCUGUCUAUUCUAUUUCAAAUAAUGUCUUAAUUGCUGUAGCAGCAUCCCUAACACAGUGAGCAAACUCCUCUCUAUGAACAAAUAUUGAAUUGGCUCUCA